UACGUAGGGGGCAAGCGUUGUCCGGAUUUAUUGGGCGUAAAGAGCGUGUAGGCGGCCAGGUAGGUCGGUUGUGAAAACUCGAGGCUCAACCUCGAGAUGUCGACCGAAACCAUCUGGCUAGAGUCCGGAAGAGGAGAAUGGAAUUCCCGGUGUAGCGGUGAAAUGCGCAGAUAUCGAGAGGAACACCUGCGGCGAAGGCGGGUUGCUGGGCUGACACUGACGCUGAGGCGCGAAAGCCAGGGGAGCGAACGGG
RNAcentral lists this ribosomal RNA (253 nucleotides) under uncultured bacterium. Its description in RNAcentral is "partial 16S ribosomal RNA". It matches the Rfam family "Bacterial small subunit ribosomal RNA", at positions 524 to 776 of the family's 1533-position model. The record is from RNAcentral.